Molecule: long non-coding RNA, 731 nt
Organism: Nicotiana attenuata
Lineage: Eukaryota; Viridiplantae; Streptophyta; Magnoliopsida; Solanales; Solanaceae
Exons: 4
Source: RefSeq, a predicted model, not a curated record
UAUUUUAAAAUCAUUGAACUCUUAAGGGUCUUAUGGAACUAGGAGUUGUUAUCUUUUGCCUUGAAUCCUUGGUAAUUGUCUCCUACCUCAAAAUUGUAUAGUGUAAAAAUCUCCGAGCAGAAUCUUUGGAGGUUAUUCUAGUGGGUAGGAUUCUGCAGUUGCAACCCUGAAGUGAUUUUAACGCGUCUAGCAUAUAUGCCUAGCUGGAUGCUUGCUGAUCAAAGACAUCGUUACAGCCUUGAAGAGAAUGUGAAGAGAAUGAGGGGCUGUACAUUUCUCUCACAACCAAUGGUUGUGUUGCAGGGACAUGAAGCAAAAUUUGAAACAAAAGAGAAUAAGGGAGGUUGGGACAAACAUAUUCUAGAGCUUGGUUUCAUAGCCACCCGCAGUGGCACAAAGAAAGAGAAUUAUCAAAAUUUGCAAUAAACUAAUUAGCAGGUAUAGAUAAUCAGUUUGACGAGCCCUCAUAAUAGACGAGAUUGGCUUCAGCGAAGGAUCGGUAAGACUCCACCUCAUCCGGAGUGCAGCGAAGUCUAUGAGUCAUUGUGUCAAAAGUUUUCUACAGGAUUAUUGGUAGGUCGGUACCCUAUCCCAUUUGAUGUCAAAUAAUCUUAGAGGCUUUGUAGCCAGAGGUUUAUUUUGUAUAGUAUGUCAGAGGCCUUGACGGCCGAUAUGUAUUCACGUUUUAAGAAAAAUGGUUCAGUAAUAUAGCGUUUUCCAACUUAUAGUUA